AGUGAACGCUGGCGGUAGGCCUAACACAUGCAAGUCGAACGGCAGCACAGUAAGAGCUUGCUCUUACGGGUGGCGAGUGGCGGACGGGUGAGGAAUACAUCGGAAUCUACUUUUUCGUGGGGGAUAACGUAGGGAAACUUACGCUAAUACCGCAUACGACCUACGGGUGAAAGCAGGGGAUCUUCGGACCUUGCGCGAUUGAAUGAGCCGAUGUCGGAUUAGCUAGUUGGCGGGGUAAAGGCCCACCAAGGCGACGAUCCGUAGCUGGUCUGAGAGGAUGAUCAGCCACACUGGAACUGAGACACGGUCCAGACUCCUACGGGAGGCAGCAGUGGGGAAUAUUGGACAAUGGGCGCAAGCCUGAUCCAGCCAUACCGCGUGGGUGAAGGAGGCCUUCGGGUUGUAAAGCCCUUUUGUUGGGAAAGAAAAGCAGCAGGUUAAUACCCCGCUGUUCUGACGGUACCCAAUGAAUAAGCACCGGCUAACUUCGUG
Molecule: ribosomal RNA, 492 nt
Filed under: uncultured bacterium
Lineage: Bacteria
Description: partial 16S ribosomal RNA
Rfam family: Bacterial small subunit ribosomal RNA
Source: RNAcentral